Molecule: ribosomal RNA, 372 nt
Filed under: uncultured organism
Description: partial 16S ribosomal RNA
Rfam family: Bacterial small subunit ribosomal RNA
Source: RNAcentral
GGGGGGGCAAGCGUUGUUCGGAAUUACUGGGCGUAAAGGGCGCGCAGGCGGGCGGGAAAGUCUCUCGUGAAAUCCCACGGGCUCAACCGCGGAAUUGCGGGAGAUACUACUCGUCUUGAGUUCGGGAGAGGAGUGUGGAAUUCCCAGUGUAGCGGUGAAAUGCGUAGAUAUUGGGAGGAACACCGGUGGCGAAGGCGGCACUCUGGACCGAUACUGACGCUGAGGCGCGAAAGCUAGGGGAGCAAACGGGAUUAGAUACCCCGGUAGUCCUAGCUGUAAACGCUGAGCACUUGGUGUAGCGGGUAUCGACCCCUGCUGUGCCGAAGCUAACGCAUUAAGUGCUCCGCCUGGGGAGUACGGUCGCAAAGGCUG